GGGGUUGUGGCUCAACGGCAGAGCGCUUGCCUAGCAUGUAUGAGGCCCUGGGUUCGACCUCAGCACCA
RNAcentral lists this transfer RNA (68 nucleotides) under Ictidomys tridecemlineatus (thirteen-lined ground squirrel). RNAcentral describes it as "Spermophilus tridecemlineatus (thirteen-lined ground squirrel) tRNA". It matches the Rfam family "tRNA". Rfam says of the family: Transfer RNA (tRNA) molecules are approximately 80 nucleotides in length. Their secondary structure includes four short double-helical elements and three loops (D, anti-codon, and T loops). Further hydrogen bonds mediate the characteristic L-shaped molecular structure. tRNAs have two regions of fundamental functional importance: the anti-codon, which is responsible for specific mRNA codon recognition, and the 3' end, to which the tRNAs corresponding amino acid is attached (by aminoacyl-tRNA synthetases). tRNAs cope with the degeneracy of the genetic code in two manners: having more than one tRNA (with a specific anti-codon) for a particular amino acid; and 'wobble' base-pairing, i.e. permitting non-standard base-pairing at the 3rd anti-codon position. Lineage: Eukaryota; Metazoa; Chordata; Mammalia; Rodentia; Sciuridae. The record is from Rfam by way of RNAcentral.